CAUAGCGACUAUCGUGGCAUAUCAAUAAGCGGAGGAAAAGAAACUAACAAGGAUUCCCUUAGUAACGGCGAGUGAAGCGGGAAGAGCUCAAAUUUGAAAUCUUCAAGGUUUUACCUUGACGAAUUGUAGUUUAAAGAAGUGUUUUCUGUUGGAGUUUUGGUAAAAGUUCUUUGGAAUAGGACAUCAUAGAGGGUGAGAAUCCCGUAUUUGACCAUUAUUUCCAGCUGUGUGAUACACUUUCAAGAGUCGGAUUGUUUGGGAAUGCAGUCCAAAAUGGGUGGUAAAUUUCAUCUAAAGCUAAAUAUUGGCGAGAGACCGAUAGCGAACAAGUACCGUGAGGGAAAGAUGAAAAGAACUUUGAAAAGAGAGUUAAACAGUACGUGAAAUUGUCAAAAGGGAAGCGUUUGACACCAGUGUUGUUUUCUCGAAAAUCAAUUAAAAAUGAUGGGAUUUUGUGUUGUAUUGACUUUAUCAGCUUUCUGCACUUUUUUCCUAUCUUUUUUAAUGCACUUUUCGUUUAACAAGACAACAUCAAUUUCUUUUGCUGUAAAAGAGUCAUUGGAAGGUGGCUUUCUUUUCGGAGAAAGUGUUUAUAGCCUUUGACUUCUGCAGUCGGAGAGAUUGAGGUCUGCAGCGUAGAUCCUUCGGGGUUAGAUACAUUUGUGCUAAGCUAUAGCCUUUCAUAGACAACUUGUUGACUAUGAUCAGUCAUGUAGCUUACUCGCUUAUGCUAUUUUACCUACGCUUAGGAUGUUGAUAUGCAUGACUGAUAU
RNAcentral lists this ribosomal RNA (773 nucleotides) under uncultured Neocallimastigales. RNAcentral describes it as "partial large subunit ribosomal RNA". It matches the Rfam family "Eukaryotic large subunit ribosomal RNA", at positions 22 to 629 of the family's 3401-position model. The record is from RNAcentral. Lineage: Eukaryota; Fungi; Neocallimastigomycota; Neocallimastigomycetes; Neocallimastigales.